GAUGAAGAACGUAGCGAAAUGCGAUACGUAGUGUGAAUUGCAGAAUUCCGUGAACCAUCAAAUCUUUGAACGCAUAUUGCGCUCGAGGCUUCGGCCGAGAGCAUGUCUGCCUCAGCGUCGGUAUUACCCCUCGCUUCUCAACCCCUGGUUGAUGCCUGCCUGCCUUUGCAGUUGGCUAGAAGCGGAUCUGGCUUUCCCAAUUGCCUUUGGUAGUUGGGUCAGCUGAAGCACAGAGGCUUGAGCAAGGACCCUUAUUGGGCUUCAACUGGAUAGGUAGAACUGGUCUUAGGACCAACUACACGAAGUUGUUGCUUGUGGUCUUUUGUCUGGAGACCAGCAGGAAACCUUUAUACCUUCGACCUGAGCUCAGGCAAGAUUACCCGCUGAACUUAAGCAUAUCAAUAAGCGGAGGA
RNAcentral lists this unclassified non-coding RNA (413 nucleotides) under soil metagenome. Its description in RNAcentral is "partial contains 5.8S ribosomal RNA, internal transcribed spacer 2, and large subunit ribosomal RNA". The stretch from base 1 to 120 matches the Rfam family "5.8S ribosomal RNA", at positions 35 to 154 of the family's 154-position model. The record is from RNAcentral.